Molecule: ribosomal RNA, 490 nt
Filed under: uncultured bacterium
Lineage: Bacteria
Description: partial 16S ribosomal RNA
Rfam family: Bacterial small subunit ribosomal RNA
Source: RNAcentral
AUUGAACGCUGGCGGCAGGCCUAACACGUGCAAGUCGAACGGUAACAGGAAGAAGCUUGCUUCUUUGCUGACGAGUGGCGGACGGGUGAGUAAUGUCUGGGAAACUGCCUGAUGGAGGGGGAUAACUACUGGAAACGGUAGCUAAUACCGCAUAACGUCGCAAGACCAAAGAGGGGGACCUUCGGGCCUCUUGCCAUCGGAUGUGCCCAGAUGGGAUUAGCUAGUAGGUGGGGUAACGGCUCACCUAGGCGACGAUCCCUAGCUGGUCUGAGAGGAUGACCAGCCACACUGGAACUGAGACACGGUCCAGACUCCUACGGGAGGCAGCAGUGGGGAAUAUUGCACAAUGGGCGCAAGCCUGAUGCAGCCAUGCCGCGUGUAUGAAGAAGGCCUUCGGGUUGUAAAGUACUUUCAGCGGGGAGGAAGGGAGUAAAGUUAAUACCUUUGCUCAUUGACGUUACCCGCAGAAGAAGCACCGGCUAACUCCGUG